This 69-nucleotide transfer RNA is filed under the name Ictidomys tridecemlineatus (thirteen-lined ground squirrel). RNAcentral's name for it is "Spermophilus tridecemlineatus (thirteen-lined ground squirrel) tRNA". It matches the Rfam family "tRNA". Rfam says of the family: Transfer RNA (tRNA) molecules are approximately 80 nucleotides in length. Their secondary structure includes four short double-helical elements and three loops (D, anti-codon, and T loops). The record is from Rfam by way of RNAcentral. Lineage: Eukaryota; Metazoa; Chordata; Mammalia; Rodentia; Sciuridae.
GGGAGUGUGGCUCAGCAGCAGAGCACUCACCUAGCAUGUGUGAGGCCCUGGGUUUGAUCCUCAGCACCA